RNAcentral lists this unclassified non-coding RNA (213 nucleotides) under Hevea brasiliensis (rubber tree). Lineage: Eukaryota; Viridiplantae; Streptophyta; Magnoliopsida; Malpighiales; Euphorbiaceae. The record is from RNAcentral.
AAACAAUAAACGACAUAUUGGCUGAAAAAAGGGUAGUAUCUGGAUCAGGCUAUUUGGAAGCACUGGAAAGAGAUUUUUACUCAGCAUUACAGUUAGCAUUCUACGGCCCUGAGAUUGAGUCAGAUCUCCUUCCUGAGUUUUUUGAAGCUGAGGAGCGAUCAGUAUAUGAAACAGCUGAGGUUCUACACCUGGUUUAUGGGCGAGAUCUUUUCG